AAAACUUUCAACAACGGAUCUCUUGGUUCUGGCAUCGAUGAAGAACGCAGCGAAAUGCGAUAAGUAAUGUGAAUUGCAGAAUUCAGUGAAUCAUCGAAUCUUUGAACGCACAUUGCGCCCCCUGGUAUUCUGGGGGGCAUGCCUGUUCGAGCGUCAUU
This 158-nucleotide ribosomal RNA is filed under the name Ramularia beticola. RNAcentral's name for it is "5.8S ribosomal RNA". It matches the Rfam family "5.8S ribosomal RNA". From Rfam's summary of the family: 5.8S ribosomal RNA (5.8S rRNA) is a component of the large subunit of the eukaryotic ribosome. It is transcribed by RNA polymerase I as part of the 45S precursor that also contains 18S and 28S rRNA. The record is from RNAcentral. Lineage: Eukaryota; Fungi; Ascomycota; Dothideomycetes; Mycosphaerellales; Mycosphaerellaceae.